This is a long non-coding RNA of Manduca sexta (tobacco hornworm), 1173 nucleotides long. RefSeq lists it as uncharacterized. The record is from RefSeq and is a predicted model, not a curated record. The transcript has 2 exons. NCBI's taxonomy places the organism in Eukaryota, Metazoa, Arthropoda, Insecta, Lepidoptera, Sphingidae.
AUCGUAGAUUGGCGUCGGCGCAACUACACGGCGUUAGAAGGACGUUCCGUUUUAAAUAUCAGGUUUUAUUAUUAUGAAGAGCGGCGCAGCGGAGUGCGGACGGCGCGGCGGACGGUUGCGUGCGAUAACAUUUGACAUUCGUAAUUACUCGAGCGCGGACAGUGGUGCGGCCGCGGCACAGGCGAGCCGGGCGAGGCCGGCUCCGCGGACAUUCCGCCGGAGUCCGUGGGGCCGGACAAAGAGGUCGCGCGUUGCGUCAGCGGCCACGAGCCACCGACCAGCGGUUUGACAAUCACGAGCCGUCGUCGACGCCGCGCCACCGCCGCUCUACCUCCGCUCCGCCGCCGCGCCACCGCCGCUCCACCGCCGCCAGCGCGCCGCCGACCCUCGCUGUGUCGCCGCGAGCCCGCAUUUCACAUACACUGCCGAAAUAUACGCUAGCCUUGACUACCAUUGUCGAAUGUUUCCAAAUGCACGCUCCGACAUAUUAUAUUUCCGCGUUUUAGACGCUAUUUAGGCGAACUCGUAUUAAUUCCCAAUUAAAAGAGAUAACCGUUGGAGUUUAUUUCAAGAACUCUAUAUGCCGCUUAAUGAGUCCUAAAGUUUGAGGGAGAGUUGGAGCCGUGCGAGUUAGGCUCUUACUGCGGCGGUAUAAGGUCGAUAUUCAGUGUUAGAGGUCGUAUACGUCAGCCGAUGUCAAAGAGCAGAGAGGCAGAGAGAGAUAAAGCGCUGGAGGAAAACAUUUGGUGCGCUACGACGGUACCGAUACUCGCCUCGACUCGAUAAAAACCCGUGAAAUUAUAACGAGAUGAAAACGGCGCCUUUUGGCUCGUCGUAGGGGGUUAUUCGAAUGUCGCUGUAGCUUGCCGGCUCGUUACUUACCAAUAUAAGACGCCUAUUCAAAUGAAGCAAUGAAUCAGGCUUUGUUACUACACGAGAAAGAAUAGCCAUUUUAUAUUGUCCUCAACUAGUUCGCGGUUCGAAUCCGUUGCGGACUGGGUGCGUUAAUGUUUCGUUUAAAAUAAUAGCGAUUAAAUAUUAGAUGACAAUUAAAAUAUUUUUAGUCAUUAAUUCUAAAGUCCUAGGAAUAAAAUAAUAAUGUCAAUACAUAAAGAAACUAGUUAUGUAUUUAACAUAUUUCAAUAAAGUUGUCUAUAAUUUUUUGUGAAUUUA